UGUUAAUUGUGAGCUUAGCGU
Molecule: unclassified non-coding RNA, 21 nt
Filed under: Chlamydomonas reinhardtii
Lineage: Eukaryota; Viridiplantae; Chlorophyta; Chlorophyceae; Chlamydomonadales; Chlamydomonadaceae
Description: small RNA Cre_3649
Source: RNAcentral